This 257-nucleotide long non-coding RNA is filed under the name Lathyrus oleraceus (garden pea). RNAcentral describes it as "Pisum sativum (pea) long non-coding RNA (PSAT_LNC037544)". Lineage: Eukaryota; Viridiplantae; Streptophyta; Magnoliopsida; Fabales; Fabaceae. The record is from RNAcentral.
UUUUAUUUUGAUUAUCUAAUUAAAAAAUAUUAAAUAAAAAUGAUUAAAAUAUUUAUUUGUUUUAUUUAUUUUUAUUUAACAAAAAAACGUAUAUUUGUCUUUGUUUAUUUGAUUUUUAAACUAUUUGUAUCAAUUAAAAUGAUUAAAAGGGACAUUUUGGUCUUUGUGUGUCAAGAGAACCCUAGAAAUCCUUACUAUUUAAACUAAUGUCAUUGGCUCAUGAAGAAGAGAUCCAACUGUUGCCUAAACGGCAGACC